Molecule: ribosomal RNA, 271 nt
Filed under: uncultured bacterium
Lineage: Bacteria
Description: partial 16S ribosomal RNA
Rfam family: Bacterial small subunit ribosomal RNA
Source: RNAcentral
GAUGAACGCUAGCGGCAGGCCUAAUACAUGCAAGUCGGACGGGAUUGUGGUGCUUGCAUCACAUGAGAGUGGCGCACGGGUGCGUAACACGUAUGUAACCUACCCUUAUCAGGGGGAUAGCCUCUCGAAAGAGAGAUUAAGCCCGCAUAAAAUCACACUGCAGCAUUGUGGAAUGAUCAAAUAUUUAUAGGAUAAGGAUGGGCANGCGGAACAUUAGCUAGUUGGUAAGGUAACGGGCUUACCAAGGCGACGAUGUUUAGGGGAUCUGAGA